RNAcentral lists this ribosomal RNA (224 nucleotides) under uncultured bacterium. RNAcentral describes it as "16S ribosomal RNA". It matches the Rfam family "Bacterial small subunit ribosomal RNA", at positions 196 to 422 of the family's 1533-position model. The record is from RNAcentral.
UACGGGGAAAGAUUUAUCGGAGAAGGAUUAGUCCGCGUUGGAUUAGGUAGUUGGUGGGGUAAUGGCCUACCAAGCCUACGAUCCAUAGCUGGUUUGAGAGGAUGAUCAGCCACACUGGGACUGAGACACGGCCCAGACUCCUACGGGAGGCAGCAGUGGGGAAUCUUAGACAAUGGGGGAAACCCUGAUCUAGCCAUGCCGCGUGAGUGAUGAAGGCCUUAGGG